RNAcentral lists this ribosomal RNA (620 nucleotides) under uncultured bacterium. RNAcentral's name for it is "bacterial SSU rRNA". The stretch from base 1 to 518 matches the Rfam family "Bacterial small subunit ribosomal RNA", at positions 338 to 873 of the family's 1533-position model. The record is from RNAcentral.
CCUACGGGAGGCAGCAGUGGGGAAUCUUGCGCAAUGGGCGAAAGCCUGACGCAGCCAUGCCGCGUGAAUGAUGAAGGUCUUAGGAUUGUAAAAUUCUUUCACCGGGGACGAUAAUGACGGUACCCGGAGAAGAAGCCCCGGCUAACUUCGUGCCAGCAGCCGCGGUAAUACGAAGGGGGGCUAGCGUUGCUCGGAAUUACUGGGCGUAAAGGGAGCGUAGGCGGAUAGUUUAGUCAGAGGUGAAAGCCCAGGGCUCAACCUUGGAAUUGCCUUUGAUACUGGCUAUCUUGAGUAUGGGAGAGGUUAGCGGAACUCCGAGUGUAGAGGUGAAAUUCGUAGAUAUUCGGAAGAACACCAGUGGCGAAGGCGGCUAACUGGCCCAUUACUGACGCUGAGGCUCGAAAGCGUGGGGAGCAAACAGGAUUAGAUACCCUGGUAAUCCACGCCGUAAACGAUGAGUGCUAGUUGUCGGCAUGCAUGCAUGUCGGUGACGCAGCUACGACAUAAGACACUCCGCCGUCGGGAGGUACGGGUCGGCGAAGAAGUUAAAACGUUAAAAGUUAAGUAAGUUAGUUACGGUACGUUGAGACGUUGCCGACGGACGACGACGAGGGAGGAGG